This 1342-nucleotide ribosomal RNA is filed under the name uncultured bacterium. RNAcentral describes it as "16S ribosomal RNA". It matches the Rfam family "Bacterial small subunit ribosomal RNA", at positions 28 to 1378 of the family's 1533-position model. The record is from RNAcentral.
GACGAACGCUGGCGGCGUGCUUAACACGUGCAAGUCGAACGGAAAGGCCCUGCUUUUGUGGGGUGCUCGAGUGGCGAACGGGUGAGUAACACGUGAGUAACCUGCCCUUGACUUUGGGAUAACUUCAGGAAACUGGGGCUAAUACCGGAUAGGAGCUCCUGCUGCAUGGUGGGGGUUGGAAAGUUUCGGCGGUUGGGGAUGGACUCGCGGCUUAUCAGCUUGUUGGUGGGGUAGUGGCUUACCAAGGCUUUGACGGGUAGCCGGCCUGAGAGGGUGACCGGCCACAUUGGGACUGAGAUACGGCCCAGACUCCUACGGGAGGCAGCAGUGGGGAAUAUUGCACAAUGGGCGGAAGCCUGAUGCAGCAACGCCGCGUGCGGGAUGACGGCCUUCGGGUUGUAAACCGCUUUCGCCUGUGACGAAGCGUGAGUGACGGUAAUGGGUAAAGAAGCACCGGCUAACUACGUGCCAGCAGCCGCGGUGAUACGUANGGUGCGAGCGUUGUCCGGAUUUAUGAGGCGUAAGGGCUCGUAGGUGGUUGAUCGCGUCGGAAGUGUAAUCUUGGGGCUUAUUCCUGAGCGUGCUUUCGAUACGGGUUGACUUGAGGAAGGUAGGGGAGAAUGGAAUUCCUGGUGGAGCGGUGGAAUGCGCAUAUAUCAAGAGGAACACCAGUGGCGAAGGCGGUUCUCUGGGCCUUUCCUGACUCUGAGGAGCGAAAGCGUGGGGAGCGAACAGGCUUAGAUACCCUGGUAGUCCACGCUGUAAACGGAGGGUACUAGGUGUGGGGUCCAUUCCACGGGUUCCGCGCCGUAGCUAACGCUUUAAGUACCCCGCCUGGGGAGUACGGCCGCAAGGCUAAAACUCAAAGGAAUUGACGGGGCCCCGCACAAGCGGCGGAGCAUGCGGAUUAAUUCGAUGCAACGCGUAGAACCUUACCUGGGUUUGACAUGGAUCGGGAGUGCUCAGAGAUGGGUGUGCCUCUUUUGGGGUCGGUUCACAGGUGGUGCAUGGCUGUCGUCAGCUCGUGUCGUGAGAUGUUGGGUUAAGUCCCGCAACGAGCGCAACCCUUGUUCACUGUUGCCAGCACGUUAUGGUGGGGACUCAGUGGAGACCGCCGGGGUCAACUCGGAGGAAGGUGGGGAUGACGUCAAGUCAUCAUGCCCCUUAUGUCCAGGGCUUCACGCAUGCUACAAUGGCUGGUACAGAGAGUGGCGAGCCUGUGAGGGUGAGCGAAUCUCGGAAAGCCGGUCUCAGUUCGGAUUGGGGUCUGCAACUCGACCUCAUGAAGUUGGAGUCGCUAGUAAUCGCAGAUCAGCAACGCUGCGGUGAAUACGUUCCCGGG